GACGAACGCUGGCGGCGUGCCUAAUACAUGCAAGUCGAGCGAAGUUUUUCUGGUGCUUGCACCGGAAAAACUUAGCGGCGAACGGGUGAGUAACACGUAAAGAACCUGCCUUAUAGACUGGGACAACUAUUGGAAACGAUAGCUAAUACCGGAUAACAGCAUUAACUGCAUGGUUGAUGUUUGAAAGUUGGUUUUGCUAACACUAUGAGAUGGCUUUGCGGUGCAUUAGCUAGUUGGUGGGGUAAAGGCCUACCAAGGCGACGAUGCAUAGCCGACCUGAGAGGGUGAUCGGCCACACGGGGACUGAGACACGGCCCAGACUCCUACGGGAGGCAGCAGUAGGGAAUCUUCCGCAAUGGGCGAAAGCCUGACGGAGCAACGCCGCGUGAGUGAAGAAGGAUUUCGGUUCGUAAAGCUCUGUUGUUAGGGAAGAAUGAUUGUGUAGUAACUAUACACAGUAGAGACGGUACCUAACCAGAAAGCCACGGCUAACUACGUG
RNAcentral lists this ribosomal RNA (499 nucleotides) under uncultured bacterium. Its description in RNAcentral is "partial 16S ribosomal RNA". It matches the Rfam family "Bacterial small subunit ribosomal RNA", at positions 28 to 507 of the family's 1533-position model. The record is from RNAcentral.